This 2925-nucleotide ribosomal RNA is filed under the name Klebsiella quasipneumoniae subsp. similipneumoniae. RNAcentral's name for it is "23S ribosomal RNA". It matches the Rfam family "Bacterial large subunit ribosomal RNA". The record is from RNAcentral. Lineage: Bacteria; Pseudomonadati; Pseudomonadota; Gammaproteobacteria; Enterobacterales; Enterobacteriaceae.
GGGUUGUGAGGUUAAGCGACUAAGCGUACACGGUGGAUGCCCUGGCAGUCAGAGGCGAUGAAGGACGUGCUAAUCUGCGAAAAGCGUCGGUAAGGUGAUAUGAACCGUUAUAGCCGGCGAUGUCCGAAUGGGGAAACCCAGUGCAAUUCGUUGCACUAUCGUUAACUGAAUACAUAGGUUAACGAGGCGAACCGGGGGAACUGAAACAUCUAAGUACCCCGAGGAAAAGAAAUCAACCGAGAUUCCCCCAGUAGCGGCGAGCGAACGGGGAGCAGCCCAGAGUCUGAAUCAGCUUGUGUGUUAGUGGAACGGUCUGGAAAGUCCGACGGUACAGGGUGAUAGUCCCGUACACCAAAAUGCACAGGCUGUGAACUCGAAGAGUAGGGCGGGACACGUGGUAUCCUGUCUGAAUAUGGGGGGACCAUCCUCCAAGGCUAAAUACUCCUGACUGACCGAUAGUGAACCAGUACCGUGAGGGAAAGGCGAAAAGAACCCCGGCGAGGGGAGUGAAAAAGAACCUGAAACCGUGUACGUACAAGCAGUGGGAGCACCUUUAUGGUGUGACUGCGUACCUUUUGUAUAAUGGGUCAGCGACUUAUAUUCUGUAGCAAGGUUAACCGUAUAGGGGAGCCGCAGGGAAACCGAGUCUUAACUGGGCGUUAAGUUGCAGGGUAUAGACCCGAAACCCGGUGAUCUAGCCAUGGGCAGGUUGAAGGUUGGGUAACACUAACUGGAGGACCGAACCGACUAAUGUUGAAAAAUUAGCGGAUGACUUGUGGCUGGGGGUGAAAGGCCAAUCAAACCGGGAGAUAGCUGGUUCUCCCCGAAAGCUAUUUAGGUAGCGCCUCGUGAAUUCAUCUUCGGGGGUAGAGCACUGUUUCGGCUAGGGGGUCAUCCCGACUUACCAACCCGAUGCAAACUACGAAUACCGAAGAAUGUUAUCACGGGAGACACACGGCGGGUGCUAACGUCCGUCGUGAAGAGGGAAACAACCCAGACCGCCAGCUAAGGUCCCAAAGUCAUGGUUAAGUGGGAAACGAUGUGGGAAGGCACAGACAGCCAGGAUGUUGGCUUAGAAGCAGCCAUCAUUUAAAGAAAGCGUAAUAGCUCACUGGUCGAGUCGGCCUGCGCGGAAGAUGUAACGGGGCUAAACCAUGCACCGAAGCUGCGGCAGCGACGCUUAUGCGUUGUUGGGUAGGGGAGCGUUCUGUAAGCCUGCGAAGGUGGCCUGUGAGGGUUGCUGGAGGUAUCAGAAGUGCGAAUGCUGACAUAAGUAACGAUAAAGCGGGUGAAAAGCCCGCUCGCCGGAAGACCAAGGGUUCCUGUCCAACGUUAAUCGGGGCAGGGUGAGUCGACCCCUAAGGCGAGGCCGAAAGGCGUAGUCGAUGGGAAACAGGUUAAUAUUCCUGUACUUGGUGUUACUGCGAAGGGGGGACGGAGAAGGCUAUGUUAGCCGGGCGACGGUUGUCCCGGUUUAAGCAUGUAGGCUGGUUAUCCAGGCAAAUCCGGAUAAUCAAGGCUGAGGUGUGAUGACGAGGCACUACGGUGCUGAAGUAACAAAUGCCCUGCUUCCAGGAAAAGCCUCUAAGCAUCAGGUAACAUCAAAUCGUACCCCAAACCGACACAGGUGGUCAGGUAGAGAAUACCAAGGCGCUUGAGAGAACUCGGGUGAAGGAACUAGGCAAAAUGGUGCCGUAACUUCGGGAGAAGGCACGCUGGUGUGUAGGUGAAGUCCCUGCGGAUGGAGCUGAGACCAGUCGAAGAUACCAGCUGGCUGCAACUGUUUAUUAAAAACACAGCACUGUGCAAACACGAAAGUGGACGUAUACGGUGUGACGCCUGCCCGGUGCCGGAAGGUUAAUUGAUGGGGUUAUCCGUAAGGAGAAGCUCUUGAUCGAAGCCCCGGUAAACGGCGGCCGUAACUAUAACGGUCCUAAGGUAGCGAAAUUCCUUGUCGGGUAAGUUCCGACCUGCACGAAUGGCGUAAUGAUGGCCAGGCUGUCUCCACCCGAGACUCAGUGAAAUUGAACUCGCUGUGAAGAUGCAGUGUACCCGCGGCAAGACGGAAAGACCCCGUGAACCUUUACUAUAGCUUGACACUGAACAUUGAGCCUUGAUGUGUAGGAUAGGUGGGAGGCUUUGAAGCGUGGACGCCAGUCUGCGUGGAGCCAACCUUGAAAUACCACCCUUUAAUGUUUGAUGUUCUAACGUUGGCCCCUAAUCGGGGUUGCGGACAGUGUCUGGUGGGUAGUUUGACUGGGGCGGUCUCCUCCCAAAGCGUAACGGAGGAGCACGAAGGUUAGCUAAUCCUGGUCGGACAUCAGGAGGUUAGUGCAAUGGCAUAAGCUAGCUUGACUGCGAGCGUGACGGCGCGAGCAGGUGCGAAAGCAGGUCAUAGUGAUCCGGUGGUUCUGAAUGGAAGGGCCAUCGCUCAACGGAUAAAAGGUACUCCGGGGAUAACAGGCUGAUACCGCCCAAGAGUUCAUAUCGACGGCGGUGUUUGGCACCUCGAUGUCGGCUCAUCACAUCCUGGGGCUGAAGUAGGUCCCAAGGGUAUGGCUGUUCGCCAUUUAAAGUGGUACGCGAGCUGGGUUUAGAACGUCGUGAGACAGUUCGGUCCCUAUCUGCCGUGGGCGCUGGAGAAUUGAGGGGGGCUGCUCCUAGUACGAGAGGACCGGAGUGGACGCAUCACUGGUGUUCGGGUUGUCAUGCCAAUGGCACUGCCCGGUAGCUAAAUGCGGAAGAGAUAAGUGCUGAAAGCAUCUAAGCACGAAACUUGCCCCGAGAUGAGUUCUCCCUGAGACUUUAAGUCUCCUGAAGGAACGUUAAAGACGAUGACGUUGAUAGGCCGGGUGUGUAAGCGCAGCGAUGCGUUGAGCUAACCGGUACUAAUGAACCGUGAGGCUUAACCUUACAACGCCGAAG